UACGUAGGUGGCAAGCGUUAUCCGGAAUUAUUGGGCGUAAAGAGUGAGCAGGCGGCAGUUUAAGUUUGGGGUCAAAUCGAGGGGCUCAACCCCUUCUCGCCCUGAAAACUGAACAGCUAGAGUGCAGGAGAAGUAAGCGGAAUUCCAUGUGUAGCGGUGAAAUGCGUAGAUAUAUGGAGGAACACCAGUGGCGAAGGCGGCUUACUAGCCUGAUACUGACGCUCAGUCACGAAAGCGUGGGUAGC
Molecule: ribosomal RNA, 245 nt
Filed under: uncultured bacterium
Lineage: Bacteria
Description: partial 16S ribosomal RNA
Rfam family: Bacterial small subunit ribosomal RNA
Source: RNAcentral